RNAcentral lists this ribosomal RNA (1815 nucleotides) under Triticum aestivum (bread wheat). Its description in RNAcentral is "partial small subunit ribosomal RNA". Lineage: Eukaryota; Viridiplantae; Streptophyta; Magnoliopsida; Poales; Poaceae. The record is from RNAcentral.
AUGUGUGAUUACACGGGCCGGAAGGAUGACCCUCUGCGGCACAGCCCCAACGAUCUUCCUGAGGACGUCGUGAACGACAUGACCAAGUCUCUCUUGAAUGAGAGCUUAGCCGACUGUGGGAGGACAGGCUUAAACCCCUUCUACAAAGCUAACCCGGCUCCAGCGGCUAAUGAUAAGUUCUGGAAGGUCAAGUAUGACCAUGAGGCGGCUAAAAAAGCCAGAAAGGCUAAGAAAGCCGCCAGGAGAGCCGCUCCCCGCAAAAAGGGAACCAAGCCUACCGCCUCAGAGCUGCUUCAAUUGGAUGAUAGCUCCGAGUCAGAGGAUGAUACCGGAGUGAGUAACCCGGUGAUUGAAGAGAUUCAUGAGAGCCGGAGACAAACCCGGGCCAACAAGGAUACAGACCUCUCCUCCGGCUUACCUGAAGCGUCAAGGAAACACCGGACCGAGGAAAAUUCACCUUCCUCUGGUGACUCUAUGCAAUCUAACCUGCCGGCUUUCAAGACCGCUCCCGGUGCUCAAGCAAAGCUCAGCAAGAGGGCGAAGAAGAAUAAACCGGUCGAAGAGCCGGUCCUGACUGAACCGGAGGCUUCAGCUCAAGAGCCACCAUUUGCCUCUGCUCCUGAAGCCACCACUCCCACUGACGAGCCAGUCAUAGAGACUUCUGCUAACCCGGAGAUCCCCAGCCCAGCUCAGCCGGCCGAUGACCCGGACGUCGUAAUCACCCGGACAGAGUUUGUCGAGCCGGGGAGACCCACUGUGCUGGCCAAAUGCUCUGCCAAAGAAGAACUGCUAGAGCGCCGCAGGGCCAGACUGGAGAUCACUGACUAUGCUAACUUGAGCAUUGGAGACAUUGUUUCUGGUUACAUUGGUCAAGUGCACAACAACCGGGACUUAGAGAUUGACAUGGUAAAGCAGAUACAGCAAAAAUCUGAGGCUACCUGCAAAAAAUUCAAAGCUGAAAUCUCUGAGCUGAAGAACCGCCUGAAGACUCAGGAAACUGAGACCCGGAAGGCCAACGCCAAAUUUGAGUUCAGUGUUGCUGCACAAGAGAAGCUGAAGAAGAAGUUUGAAACCGAAAGGAAGACUUGGGCCGAGGAGAAAGCUGCUUUGGUCAGCCGGGCCGAACAGGCGGAGGCUGCUCUGAUGGAGAGAACCGCCGAACUCUCCGGCUUAAAGCGCCAUGUGUCACAGAUGGUCGCCGCAAUCUUCGGUCCCAGAAGCUCCAACCUCAAUCAGAAUGUUCUGACCAAAUUGAAAGCCGUGUACACCUUGGUGGAGCAACUCUACAUCGGGUCACAGCGUGCUUUGUCCGUUGUGGCCCUGUCCAAUGAGGUUCCGACUCACCUGACGGACGUACUUCGGCGGCUUGCCAUUCUUCCUCAGUGCUUCCAAGAGCUACGACGGGCCUCUGCAAGAGCCGGAGCCAUAGCUGCUCUGAGCCGGGCCAAGGCUUUCCUCCCGGAGCUAGAGCCGACGGAGAUCGCGCUUGGAUACCCCAGCCUGAAGGAAGACGGGACCCCCUUCGAUCAGAAAGAUUUCGCCGCUUGUGUGAAGAGCGUACGCCCGGUGGCCACCCAGAUUUGGAAUGACACCGACCUUACCAAGUAUCAGCCGGGCUACGACGCGGAAAAUCAGAGGAUCCCCACUCCACGUUAUGAAGCCAUCAGCUUGAUCCCUCCGACUCGUAAGCAUACCUUCGCCCCAGAAGUUGACCCGGCCGGGUUAAUUGAUGACGAGGCUCGAUUUGAAGCUUUGAGCGGCAUUGACUGGAAAUCAUCAACCUUGACUUUUAGGCGACUCAUGGUUACACCUUAA